RNAcentral lists this unclassified non-coding RNA (300 nucleotides) under Phylloporus sp. RNAcentral describes it as "partial contains small subunit ribosomal RNA and internal transcribed spacer 1". The stretch from base 1 to 46 matches the Rfam family "Eukaryotic small subunit ribosomal RNA", at positions 1786 to 1831 of the family's 1831-position model. Lineage: Eukaryota; Fungi; Basidiomycota; Agaricomycetes; Boletales; Boletaceae. The record is from RNAcentral.
AAGUCGUAACAAGGUUUCCGUAGGUGAACCUGCGGAAGGAUCAUUAUCACGUAUCCACGUUAUAAACCAAACGCGAACUGUUCUCACACCUUUGGGUUAUGGUCGCUGUCAUGAAUUUAUGGGUCUAUUGUAUGGUUAUAGACUCUCAUGGCAAUUAAGACUGUUUCUCCGAAGCGUAUUAAUCAUACUUUUAACAAUUAACCACUUGAACACACUAUAAAUUUCUUUGUUUGAACUGAUUUGUUUCUUACUCGUUGACCCAAAAAAUCAAUGAGAAGAAAUCGAAUACGAAACAAAAAA